RNAcentral lists this ribosomal RNA (465 nucleotides) under Vreelandella stevensii. RNAcentral's name for it is "partial 16S ribosomal RNA". It matches the Rfam family "Bacterial small subunit ribosomal RNA", at positions 338 to 795 of the family's 1533-position model. Lineage: Bacteria; Pseudomonadati; Pseudomonadota; Gammaproteobacteria; Oceanospirillales; Halomonadaceae. The record is from RNAcentral.
CCUACGGGGGGCUGCAGUGGGGAAUAUUGGACAAUGGGGGGAACCCUGAUCCAGCCAUGCCGCGUGUGUGAAGAAGGCCCUCGGGUUGUAAAGCACUUUCAGUGAGGAAGAACGCCUGGUGGUUAAUACCCAUCAGGAAAGACAUCACUCACAGAAGAAGCACCGGCUAACUCCGUGCCAGCAGCCGCGGUAAUACGGAGGGUGCGAGCGUUAAUCGGAAUUACUGGGCGUAAAGCGCGCGUAGGUGGCUUGAUAAGCCGGUUGUGAAAGCCCCGGGCUCAACCUGGGAACGGCAUCCGGAACUGUCAAGCUAGAGUGCAGGAGAGGAAGGUAGAAUUCCCGGUGUAGCGGUGAAAUGCGUAGAGAUCGGGAGGAAUACCAGUGGCGAAGGCGGCCUUCUGGACUGACACUGACACUGAGGUGCGAAAGCGUGGGUAGCAAACAGGAUUUGAUACCCUGGUAGUC